CCUUGAUAUACCUAACAACUAGUUGGGAGUCAAUAAAGACCUUCAGAUGUUGGACCCCAGCUUCUCUUGCAACUUUGAGGCCAGCAAUCAGAGCUUCAUUCUCCGUCUCAUUGUUGGUAGUCGGAAAGUUGAAACGUAGAGCAUAUCCUGCUACAUCUCCUUCAAGAUCGAUCAAGAUAAGUCCGGCCCCUGCCACUGAUGCAUUUGAUGAGCCAUCGAUAUGCAGUGUCCAUAAUUCAUUAGGGUC
RNAcentral lists this long non-coding RNA (247 nucleotides) under Elaeis guineensis (African oil palm). RNAcentral's name for it is "long non-coding RNA (EGUI_LNC007840)". Lineage: Eukaryota; Viridiplantae; Streptophyta; Magnoliopsida; Arecales; Arecaceae. The record is from RNAcentral.